AAUCAACGCUGGCGGCGUGCCUCAGACAUGCAAGUCGAACGAUUAAAGCUCUCUUCGGAGAGUGUAUAGAGUGGCGCACGGGUGAGUAACACGUAAGUAAUCUACCUUUGAGUGGGGAAUAACCCGGGGAAACCCGAGCUAAUACCGCAUAAUGCAGCGGCACCGCAAGGUGACAGUUGUUAAAGGAGCAAUCCGCUUAAAGAGGAGCUUGCGGCAGAUUAGCUAGNGGUAAGGUAAUGGCUUACCAAGGCUACGAUCUGUAUCCGGUCUAAGAGGACGGUCGGACACACUGACACUGAAUAACGGGUCAGACUCCUACGGGAGGCAGCAGUCGGGAAUUUUGGGCAAUGGGCGAAAGCCUGACCCAGCAACGCCGCGUGAAGGAUGAAGUAUUUCGGUAUGUAAACUUCGAAAGAAUAGGAAGAAUAAAUGACGGUACUAUUUAUAAGGUCCGGCUAACUACGUGCCA
RNAcentral lists this ribosomal RNA (469 nucleotides) under uncultured bacterium. RNAcentral's name for it is "bacterial SSU rRNA". It matches the Rfam family "Bacterial small subunit ribosomal RNA", at positions 32 to 510 of the family's 1533-position model. The record is from RNAcentral.